CGCGGCCUAUCAGCUUGUUGGUGAGAUAACAGCUCACCAAGGCGACGAUGGUUAGCCGGCCUGAGAGGGUGAUCGGCCACACUGGAACUGAGACACGGUCCAGACUCCUACGGGAGGCAGCAGUGGGGAAUCUUGCGCAAUGGGCGAAAGCCUGACGCAGCAACGCCGCGUGAGCGAUGAAGGCCUUCGGGUCGUAAAGCUCUGUCAAGUGGGAAGAACACAAUGACGGUACCACUAGAGGAAGCCCCGGCUAACUUCGUGCCAGCAGCCGCGGUAAUACGAAGGGGCAUGCGUUGUUCGGAAUUAUUGGGCGUAAAGCGUAUGUAGGUGGUCUUUCAAGUCAGACGUGUAAGCCCUCGGCUCAACCGAGGAAUUGCGUUUGAAACUGAUCGACUUGAGUGCAGGAGAGGAAAGCGGAAUUCCCAGUGUAGCGGUGAAAUGCGUUGAUAUUGGGAAGAACACCGGUGGCGAAGGCGGCUUUCUGGCCUGCUACUGACACUGAGAUACGAAAGCCAGGGGAGCAAAGGGGAUUAGAUACCCCCGUAGUCCUGGCUGUAAACGAUGGGUACCAGGUGCGGGAGGUAUUGAUCCCUUCUGUGCCGCAGCUAACGCAUUAAGUGCCCCGCCUGGGGAGUACG
This 638-nucleotide ribosomal RNA is filed under the name uncultured bacterium. RNAcentral's name for it is "bacterial SSU rRNA". It matches the Rfam family "Bacterial small subunit ribosomal RNA", at positions 232 to 884 of the family's 1533-position model. The record is from RNAcentral.